RNAcentral lists this transfer RNA (66 nucleotides) under Cartodere nodifer. Its description in RNAcentral is "tRNA-Gly". Lineage: Eukaryota; Metazoa; Arthropoda; Insecta; Coleoptera; Latridiidae. The record is from RNAcentral. RNAcentral also lists the same sequence under 1 other name.
AUUUAUAUAGUAUAAAAAUUAUAAUUGAUUUCCAAUCAAAAGACCUAAAUUAUUUUAGUAUAAAUA